Molecule: long non-coding RNA, 4205 nt
Organism: Thalassophryne amazonica
Lineage: Eukaryota; Metazoa; Chordata; Actinopteri; Batrachoidiformes; Batrachoididae
Exons: 2
Source: RefSeq, a predicted model, not a curated record
CUGUUAAUUUUAAUUAGUUUUCACCAAGACUGAGUGACAAAUAAUUUCUUAAUCAGAACUACAAUUUUAAUAAAGUUGCCAUACUUUUGUGAUUAUGCUCCAUAAGUGUCUACUACACAAAUAUAUGCUGUUAUUUAUUUUAAAUUGCACGUUCGAUUUUUCGUUAAAUCUUUCAGCACUCAGUAGUUCGUAUGAGAUACCUGUGCUGUCCAGCCAUAAAAGCAACAUAAAUAACUGAUCAAUCUCAACAGAUUUGUGGCCCAUUUCUACUGUGUAUCAAAUGUAUGUUAAUAUGUUGUGACAAUGGUAAAGAUGGUUCUUUUUUAAUUUUCUUUUUUCCUGUCAGACUGCAGCACAUUAAACUUUUGACAGCAGAUAAGGAUAUAAUUCAGCCAACAACACACAGUAAUAAAGAAUAUUAGUAAACCAAUGGAGAUGUAUGUGGCAUCACUUUAAUAGGUAAACAUUUUGCAAUAACUGACAUAAUGAGACCGCAGAGAAAGAUAAAACUAGAGUGCUGACUCAUGUCUUGACCAUGUGCCACCAAGGAGGCAGCGCCACCAUCAGUCAGCACAAGGAACACAAUUUUCUGCAGUGUUGAAACCGACUCUGGUUUGUUUACCCAUUUACUGUUGUAUUACAUUACUUGGUGUAUGCCAGUCUCACUGCUGCCGUGGACAUGCAUUAUGGCUGUGUGUGGUGCAAUUUCCAAGUAUGUAUAGUAGGUUGAGUCAGGUCAACUGGACAUGUUUAGGUCCUUGAAGAUGUUCAUCCAGAAAAGUUUAAUCAGUUCUGCUAGUACUCACUUGUGUAAAGCAUCUUUGCACAAGUGAGUACUAGAACGUUUGUGGUUUAUUUGAAAAUUAAAGGUAUUCAGUCACUUUCCACUGUUUUCACCAGCUAUCAGUUCAUUUUGGGUUUUAAGCUGUAAGUCCUUUCAAUUGUCACAGAACAGACAAAAUUUAGUUUCUGCCUAAAUCAAAGCAUUAUAAUGUCAGUUUAUUUUUGAAGCGUGUUGCAAAAUUGCAGCUCAUUUUAAUGAUGGGAACAUAUUUACCUGGGGGCAAUUCCAUAGCAAAUAUUUUAUUUUCCGUUAAACGCCAUCUACAGGAGGAAACGUGUGUGCAUGCAUGAGGUUUGGAAAUGACCAGAAAUUACCUUUGAAUUAGUGUGAUGCGUGUUCUCGGGGCAUACACGCUAACAUCCGUAAGAUGUCUUUUUAAUCAUUGCACAGGUGUUAUCUGGUUUCAAAAACAGCAUUUUUAUAUUUAGAACUAGAAGCGUUUUUCUUGCUAACUUUUACAAAAUAUAUGAGAAACAUAUUAGAUUAUUAUGUUUGAUUCACACAUAAAUACAGUAUUUCAGAGCAUUUUCUGCCAUCUUGGUUUACUUUGUUCGAGCAACCAGCCAGCUGACGUCAUGCUGCUUUUCUCUACUCUGGCUGUCACCACGUGCUUCCCAGCAUCCCUUAGGGCCCCUUCACACAUAAUACAAUUGAAGCUGACUAGCCCAUGAAGGAGGAAUUGCAUGCCAUUCGUUAAAAAUCAGAGCUGCCUCUAACACCUUGCACACCUGUCACUACAACUAUUCAUGCAUACCAGCAGCCGACAGACAGUGCCCUGUAAGAGCCCAUUUGAUCCCUAUCGCGGCAGGUGUUGGCCAAAUUCCAUGUGACACACACGAACAUCUAACACCGCUCGCUGGACACUUACAAAAUGUGAGGCCAUUCGUGCUGUCAGCACAAAAAUGGUGAGCAGAUGACCACUAUUGUCUAAGUGCCUCCACCACCGUCGCAUUGCAAAGCAACACACACGUGCUGUGUGUGUGUAUCCCGUGUGUUGCAGAUCCCCCCCACUCACAACAUGCGUGUGUGUUGUGGACAUAAGAGCCCAGUGCUUCAUUCAUGUCAUGUCUGUACGUCUGUGACCAUGGGCCAUCUACAGAGGAACAGACGGUUCAUACUUGUAUUGUCCGCUCAAUAAGAGGGAUUCAAUAAAAUGUUGUGUUUUUUUAUGGUGUGUGGUUUAUUUUGUUUUCUCCACAGCAGAAGUGCGAUCUGGUGCAAGAUGUUCCAGCUGCUUGCACUGUAUUUGUGCACGCACACGAGCAUGCAUGAAACCAUCGCCGGUGUGUUAUGCACGCCGUGCGAUCAUGCGUCCCUCAUGACAGCAGGUGGAAUGUUUUGUGGUUCCCCAUUUUGUGUUUGGUUUGUGGAUUUUCUUCCGGUUUCUGCGUCUUUCGUGUUAUGUGUGAAGGGGCCUUUAUAGAAGUCGGGGGAACCCCCCCAAGUGAUCUAUGAUGUCACUAUGGUCACUACCAAAAGAAGUUCAAGGCUGUUUGUUUUUUAAAAUGUUUCCCUUAAAAGAAAAUAAUUAUUUUUUCCAGACAGCACAAAUUUUGUCAUAUUUGCAAUAUCAUAUCAUGAAUCCCUUAUUUAAAAGCUAAAGAAUAAAAUUUAUAGUGGUGCCAAAGAAAAUUCUGCUUAUGACUCAAAUCUUAAAAAGCCCAGUGGCCAUAUACCUUUAAUGUAAAAGUUUCCCAUUGAAACCAUAAUAAUUUACAGACUUAGUAUCGCUUAUUAGCCUGUUUUACAUCCUGUUUUAGUUCUAUGGGUUCGUAAACACAGUCCAUAUGAUCCUGUGUAUGCAUGAAAACUUCAAACCAAAAAGGACAUUAGUGUUUGAAAAAUACCAACAUGAAGCUCGAUAAGAACAUGUUGUAGUCUGAGAUCAAGUCUUAAGGAACAAAAGAAGGUAUCUGAUUCUAAGAGAGAUUAAACUAGAGUCACUGUUGUAUUGGAACAUGAACGUAUGGGUGCACUGAAGCAUUUAGCUAAACCUUUGGAUUCUUCUGCCACGCGUGUGAGUAUAUGACCAAAUCUAAGCAUGGAUUUGAUUUCUUUAUUAGUAGUGCUUUUUGUCAGGCUAUUGAAUAAUUAUUACACUGUACUGUUAUUUAUAUAAUUUUUUACAGGUUUCACUAUGUGUGGAAAUGAUACCUAUGAAUAUGGUAACGAAUGAAUUUUUUCAAAAAUUCUCAAUUUUUUUUUUUUAAAGGUAUGAGUUUUUUUAAUUACUGGUAUUGAUUGAUGAUGAAUUAAUUUAGCCACCCAAACAGUGAUGAAUAAAUUUGUUCUACUCUAAUUCUAAACAUUCAUGCAAGCAUAAAUAUUAUAAAACUGCAGACAUCCUUCUUUGCAGUUAUUUUUUUUCCAUCAACAUGAACUAUGAAACCUCGUACUAUAUUCAAGUCAAAUUAAAUGGCAUGAAUCACUAAUAAAUGCUUGUUUCAAUAAAUAAAUAAAAUAAUUUUCACUACUUGACUCAUAUAUGUAUGUGCGCAUUCAAAGUUUUUAAGUACUGGGUUGUAGGACUAAUGGAACUGUUUCAGGAUUAAUGUGAUAUUGUUUGUCCAUGAGAAAACACUGCAUUUCAUGUAUAAUUAAUAUUCCUGUAUUCAAUUUACACAUUUAAGUUAAACCGCUGCAAUUGCCACACACUAGAGAUAGGUUGGAAUACUAAGGAAAGAAAUGUAGAAUAAAUAUUAUUUAAUUUUUCUUCCAGUUUAUGGAUAUAAAUAAACUGAUUUUGAAAUUUUUUUUUGUUCCAAAUUUGCAAGUUUUAUCAAGUUUUGCAUGUACAGACAGACUUUUAUGCAUUACAUUGUUAUAACCACUGAAUGUUGCAAAGUCUAUACUGCAUAUAGCACUGGUUCGUGACUGGUUAGUUCAAGGAUAUUCUUAGUCUAAAUUGUUAAGUCAAAGUAAUGUUUUUAUCAAAUGCCUUUGUUCCCAGUUGAAACCCCACCCUUGCCCAUUCUCCAAUAUGGAUUUGCUUCAAGAAGCACAUCCAGCAUAAAACAUCUGCCAAAUCAACAUGCAGAGUCACUUCAGAUCUGGAAAAACAAGGGAGGUGCUGAAGGGACUUAACUUUGUGGUAAACACUAUUAAUUAACUUUCAUGAUUUCAUUAAGAUAAAGUUGAGGCCCACGUCAUUGUUGAGUGACUGAUUUGUACUGUUCCCAUUGUUUGGAAGGACUUUCAGUCCCAUGUGGUCAUGGUGGAUGGCUCCACAUGGUGGACCAGCUGUCAUACAAAGAGUCAGAACUCUAGUUCUUCUAUCUGUCUAUAUCUGAGACUCAUCACACCAGAGCUAAUCUCUCAUCAUUUGACAAGCUGCUUUUAAAUUAUUCCAGAAAAAAAGAAA